RNAcentral lists this transfer RNA (64 nucleotides) under Miridiba trichophora. RNAcentral's name for it is "tRNA-Ile". Lineage: Eukaryota; Metazoa; Arthropoda; Insecta; Coleoptera; Scarabaeidae. The record is from RNAcentral.
AAUGAAGUGCCUGAUUAAAGGGUUAUUUUGAUAGAGUAAAUUAUGUGAGGAUUCGCCUUCAUUG